GUGGCGAACGGGUGAGUAUCACGUGAGUAACCUGCCCUUGACUCUGGGAUAAGCCUGGGAAACUGGGUCUAAUACCGGAUAUGACCAGUCCUCGCAUGAGGUGCUGGUGGAAAGAUUUUAUCGGUCUUGGAUGGACUCGCGGCCUAUCAGCUAGACGGCGAGGUAACGGCUCACCGUGGCGAUGACGGGUAGCCGGCCUGAGAGGGUGACCGGCCACACUGGGACUGAGACACGGCCCAGACUCCUACGGGAGGCAGCAGUGGGGAAUAUUGCACAAUGGGCGCAAGCCUGAUGCAGCGACGCCGCGUGCGGGAUGACGGCCUUCGGGUUGUAAACCGCUUUCAGCAGGGAAGAAGCUUUUGUGACGGUACCUGCAGAAGAAGCGCCGGCUAACUACGUGCCAGCAGCCGCGGUAAUACGUAGGGCGCGAGCGUUAUCCGGAAUUAUUGGGCGUAAAGAGCUCGUAGGCGGCUUGUCGCGUCUGCUGUGAAAGCCCGGGGCUUAACCCCGGGUGUGCAGUGGGUACGGGCAGGCUAGAGUGCAGUAGGGGAGACUGGAAUUCCUGGUGUAGCGGUGAAAUGCGCUGAUAUCAGGAGGAACACCGAUGGCGAAAGCAGGUCUCUGGGCUGUUACUGACGCUGAGGAGCGAAAGCAUGGGGAGCGAACAGGAUUUAGAUACCCUGGUAGUCCAUGCCGUAAACGUUGGGCACUAGGUGUGGGGGGACAUUCCACGUUUUCCGCGCCGUAGCUAACGCAUUAAGUGCCCCGCCUGGGGAGUACGGCCGCAAGGCUAAAACUCAAAGGAAUUGACGGGGGCCCGCACAAGCGGCGGAGCAUGCGGAUUAAUUCGAUGCAACGCGAAGAACCUUACCAAGGCUUG
RNAcentral lists this ribosomal RNA (880 nucleotides) under uncultured Actinomycetes bacterium. RNAcentral describes it as "bacterial SSU rRNA". It matches the Rfam family "Bacterial small subunit ribosomal RNA", at positions 95 to 983 of the family's 1533-position model. Lineage: Bacteria; Bacillati; Actinomycetota; Actinomycetes. The record is from RNAcentral.